Long non-coding RNA from Triticum dicoccoides, 1839 nucleotides. RefSeq lists it as uncharacterized. The transcript is spliced from 3 exons. Lineage: Eukaryota; Viridiplantae; Streptophyta; Magnoliopsida; Poales; Poaceae. The record is from RefSeq and is a predicted model, not a curated record.
GAAUAAGUAAUUCCUCGCCCUAGUCGGCAGCGAGUCGGACUUCCAUGCCCGAUCUCACCCCUGUGGCGUGGCUAAGGCUGAGUCGAGUCUGAUUCCAUCCGCACACGAUCUCCCUUUCUACGAACCGUUUCCCCAUGACCCUGUUCCCUCGUUCGUGUUUUAAUCAAGCCUCUACUGGUGAGUGGUGAGCGGAAGGUUUGACGGCGACCAGCGGAUGUCAGCUCGCAUGGUGGUCGGCGGGUUAGAUCGACGGCAAUUUCGAUGCCCGCAUCGGCGUCAUGAGCAGGCGUAUGUCCUCCAUGUCAGCCGCGCGGCGGGUGGUUGUCGUCGCGGCGCUGCAAUUGACCGUCGUGGCUGCGAUGGUUCGAGCACGGUUGACAUGGAUUGCAGGAGGAUUAGGAUCCCGCUGUCCCUGUUUAAGGUUCGUGGUCCUCCCCUAUUUAUUCUCACGCGCAUGGACCCAACUGGCGUGAUGCCAUUCUUCUCCUUGCAUGCGGCUGCAAGUCCCUCCUCUUACACCAUGUCGAAUUCUAGUUUUUUCUUGCCACCUUACUCCUACCAGGUAACAUCUACUUACUGAUGUGAUUGCUUCCAAGAUUUCAGUGCUUAUGUGUCCUCCGUAAUUUCCCUUUGGAUCUCAUUCGUGCUGGCUCACCACUUGCAUUUCUUGCCCACGAGGUGUUUGUUUUAAUGUCUGAGUGGGAACUGCCGAUGAAAAUGUGCUCAAAGAGGCGCUUCUACCAAGGUGACGCACAGUAAUAGAUUGAUGGUAUUGCUUCUACGAUCUUACGAGCACUGAAUGCCAUGUUCAAGAUUGAGGAGAUAGAUAAGUUCCUUGUGUACAAAGCUUCGGAAAACCUCAUGCCGGCCUGCCGGCCAAUGUGGGAUCUGUAGCGCCGUCGUUGCUCCUCGUUCUUAGGGUAGGGUGGCUGUUGGCCCUCUUCUUGAUGUGGUCUAUAUGUUUCCCUCCCCUCAUGAUUGUCCGCAACCAGGUCUUCACUGCUGGAUCUCUUUGGUAUUGCUCUCUCUCCAGUAAUUUACACGGGCUUACUGUGGCGUCAACAGGAUGAAGCUUGGUUGAGAGAAGCCCUGUAAUUUGCAAAUAUUUCUGGAGCUCUCACCGGGUCAGACAGAGGAGCUACUCAUGCACAGCAAGUGGCUAAUACCCUAACCGAUGUACUCCCUGUUCUACUAAAUCAGCGACGAGUAAUAUGGAACGGAGGGAGUAGCUUCUUAAGUCAGAGAGGCACACAGUUCUCAUCUUGUCUUCUAUGUAAUGUUCCGCCUAAUACACAUUUUGCAGACAGGCACCAAUGUUCUUAUUCAAUGUGUCUACGCACGGCAAACUUGAUGGCACUGUCUCGCUAGGCACGAUCCUGAGGCCAAAUAUUUGGGAUAAUCUGGAAGACUGUUGGAUACACAUGGCAGAUUGCUGAAGGCAGGUCGAUUCUUUAGUUACGCUCACAUGUUGGAUCUUGUGGAAGCAAAAGAAUGCAAGAGUGCAGCACAAUGUUAGUGAUCUUGUGGACUGAAUCAAGGAUGAUUACAAACUCUGGAAAAGGGCUAGGGCGGAGGGAGCUGAACCAAUAGAGUAGUUAGCAUUGUGUUAGUUGGAGGGAGUAUAUCUGUUUUUUCUAUAAAACUAUAAAACUCGGGUAUGCAAAUCGUCUACUCUUGAAGAAUAAUAGUACUAGGAUAGUUUUAAGUUUCCUUUUCUGUACUAUCAUAAAAAAUGGACUCGGGUUCAAUUAUAUUAGAAUAAUUCAACCUGGCUGUUUGGUGCCGUGUCGGUGUUCCAAACAAGGUGCAAGAUGGCAUAAUGUAUUUUACCUUCUAACU